This 478-nucleotide ribosomal RNA is filed under the name uncultured Planctomycetales bacterium. RNAcentral's name for it is "bacterial SSU rRNA". It matches the Rfam family "Bacterial small subunit ribosomal RNA", at positions 364 to 832 of the family's 1533-position model. The record is from RNAcentral. Lineage: Bacteria; Pseudomonadati; Planctomycetota; Planctomycetia; Planctomycetales.
UUUCGCAAUGCCCGAAAGGGUGACGAAGCGACGCCGCGUGUGGGAAGAAGGCCUUCGGGUUGUAAACCGCUGUUGGGAGUUAGGAAGUGUGGGAGUGUUAAUAGCGCUUCCACUUGACUAAAGCUCCAGAGGAAGCCACGGCUAACUCUGUGCCAGCAGCCGCGGUAAUACAGAGGCGGCAAGCGUCGUUCGGAAUUAUUGGGCGUAAAGAGCACGUAGGCGGCUCUGCAAGUCAGCUGUGAAAGCCUUCUGCUUAACGGAAGAACAGCAGUUGAAACUACAGGGCUUGAGUGCGGGAGGGGAGAGUGGAACUUCUGGUGGAGCGGUGAAAUGCGUAGAUAUCAGAAGGAACGCCGGCGGCGAAAGCGGCUCUCUGGUCCGUAACUGACGCUGAGUGUGCGAAAGCUAGGGGAGCAAACGGGAUUAGAUACCCCGGUAGUCCUAGCCGUAAACGAUGGGCACUAAGUAGAGGGGUUUU